GUGCUCAAUUUGGCAGCACACAUGCUAAAAUUGGAAUGACACAGAAAAGAUUAACAUGGGCCCUGCACAAGGAUGAAUGCAAAUUUGUGAAGCAUUCUAUAUUUUU
Ochotona curzoniae (black-lipped pika) is the source of this 106-nucleotide small nuclear RNA. NCBI's taxonomy places the organism in Eukaryota, Metazoa, Chordata, Mammalia, Lagomorpha, Ochotonidae. The record is from RefSeq and is a predicted model, not a curated record.